Molecule: long non-coding RNA, 501 nt
Organism: Juglans microcarpa x Juglans regia
Lineage: Eukaryota; Viridiplantae; Streptophyta; Magnoliopsida; Fagales; Juglandaceae
Exons: 3
Source: RefSeq, a predicted model, not a curated record
GCUAGCACCCGAGGCCAAGCAAAACAAAUUGCACUGAACGCCAUCCUCUGCACCGUAGCAUCACCAACCUCAUGCAUGUUCAUCUUUUCUUCGCUAGCAUGACCUCCGUAAGCCAACCACCAUAGCCCUCUGUCCAUCAGCUCCGAGCAACUGGACGAGAUUUCUCUCACACGGCAGAGGCCACCGACGCCACCACCCCUCCCCCAUCUCUCGGAAAACCCAGCCGUUUAUCCUCUGUUUUAGCUCCCGAAAACAGAGUACCGUCCCUGUUGGAAUACCACAGACCGACGCCCUCUCAGCCACCGUGACCCUCCGAGUGCCACCGAUGUUGCCCAGCUGCUAUCAUUACUCCUCCGUGUCGCUGCCGAAAGACUCCCCUUAACGCCUCUUGCACUGCCGUCGGGACAGCCACCUUCCACUCGCCCAGCCCGUCGCGCCUUGCCCCUCCACGCAUAUCUCGGUUUUAGUUGUGACGGUUAGUAUCUGUUCAGCACUGUUGUG